Molecule: ribosomal RNA, 1000 nt
Filed under: Azospirillum sp. Azosp 3
Lineage: Bacteria; Pseudomonadati; Pseudomonadota; Alphaproteobacteria; Rhodospirillales; Azospirillaceae
Description: partial 16S ribosomal RNA
Rfam family: Bacterial small subunit ribosomal RNA
Source: RNAcentral
UUCAUAAUGGCGGUAUAGCGUGUUCUUGGCUCAGAUACCUUAAGAGAUUGCACCUAUAGUGUGUUCUGUGGGCCAAAAGGUGAGGAAUACAUCGAAAUCUACCUUUUCGUGGGGUAUAACGUAGGGAAACUUACGCUAAUACCGCAUACGACCUUCGGGUGAAAGCAGGGGACCUUCGGGCCUUGCCGGAUAGAUGAGCCGAUGUCGGAUUAGCUAGUUGGCGGGGUAAAGGCCCACCAAGGCGACGAUCCGUAGCUGGUCUGAGACAAUAACCAACCACACUGGAACUGAGACACGGUCCAGACUCCUACGGGAGGGAGCAGUGGGGAAUAUUGGACAAUGGGCGCACGCGUGACCAGGCAUAAAGGCAAGGGGGAGGAGGGUUUCCGGUUUGUUUAGCCUUUUGGAAGGAAAAGAAAAAAUUCAUUUAUAACUGGGUUUUUCCGGGGACCACAAGAGAAAAAAAACUGUUUACUUCCGCCCGGGGGGCGGGAAAGCGGAAGGGGCCAGCCCUUUUUCUCGGAAUUUAGGGGCAAAGCCGCGCGGGUUGGGGGGGGUUUUAAGGCUUUUUUCGUAAAACCCCCGGCUCUAACCGGGAAAUUUCCCAGGGGUACACGGGGAAACGAGAGUGGGAGAGAGGAUUGCGAAUUUCCCGGGGUGAAAGCAGAAAAUCGCAGAGAGACGGGAGGGGAAUCCCCUGGGGAAACGCGCGCACUUUUGCCCCCCACUCUUUUCUUGGAGGCGGGAAAAGCGUGGGAGGAAAAAGGGGUUUUAUUUCCCCUCGGAAACCCCCACCCCCAAACAAAUAGGCAAAUUUGGAGGUGGUGGGGCGAAAUUUUUGCCCCCAAAUUAUCCAAACCUAAUCGCGUUUUAAGUUUGCCCCCCCCCGGGGAAUUUACCGUUCCAAAAACCUUGAAAAUCUUAAAACGAUUUUUAUGGGAGCCCCCCGCCCAGACGGGUGGGUGUUUAAUUUGGGAUUAAAAUUCCCGAGAGAAAAACG